GCGACGAUCCGUAGCUGGUCUGAGAGGACGACCAGCCACACUGGGACUGAGACACGGCCCAGACUCCUACGGGAGGCAGCAGUAGGGAAUAUUGGACAAUGGGCGAAAGCCUGAUCCAGCAAUGCCGCGUGUGUGAAGAAGGCCUAUGGGUUGUAAAGCACUUUCAGUUGGGAAGAAAAGCUUUAGGUUAAUACCUUAGAGUCUUGACGUUACCAAUAGAAGAAGCACCGGCUAACUCUGUGCCAGCAGCCGCGGUAAGACAGAGGGUGCGAGCGUUAAUCGGAAUUACUGGGCGUAAAGCGUACGUAGGUGGUUGAGUCAGUCGGAUGUGAAAGCCCAAGGCUUAACCUUGGAACUGCAUUCGAUACUGCUCAACUAGAGUAUAGUAGAGGGAAGCGGAAUUUCUAGUGUAGCGGUGAAAUGCGUAGAUAUUAGAAAGAACACCAGUGGCGAAGGCGGCUUCCUGGACUAAUACUGACACUGAGGUACGAAAGCGUGGGGAGCAAACAGGAUUAGAUACCCUGGUAGUCCACGCCCUAAACGAUGAGAACUAGAUGUUGGGGGAAAUUGAUCCCUUAGUAUCGCAGCUAACGCGAUAAGUUCUCCGCCUGGGGAGUACGGCCGCAAGGUUAAAACUCAAAUGAAUUGACGGGGGCCCGCACAAGCGGUGGAGCAUGUGGUUCAAUUCGAUGCAACGCGAAGAACCUUACCUGGCCUUGACAUCCUCGGAACCUCGCAGAAAUGUGGGGGUGCCUUUUGGAACCGAGAGACAGGUGCUGCAUGGCUGUCGUCAGCUCGUGUCGUAAAUAACUUGCGACCUAUAGAAGCGAUUCUAUAGACAAAUCCAGCUUAUAACGGUGAAACCCUAACAGAUUAAUGCUGAGGGCAAUACCGUGGGAAGUUCAUGAUAAUUCAUGUAACCCCGUAACGACUGAGGCGUAAUGCCGAGAUAACAAUCGAUCCAUUUUAGUAAAUUUAUGAUUGUUAUAACACGCUGGCUCUUACUUACCAUCAGUAAGAUGAAGAUAUAGUCUAAACCCUUAAGAAAUUUUGGGAGUUAUUUGGAGAUGUUGGGUUAAGUCCCGCAACGAGCGCAACCCUUGUCUCUAGUUGCCAGCGAUUAGGUCGGGAACUCUAGAGAGACUGCCGGUGACAAACCGGAGGAAGGUGGGGAUGACGUCAAGUCAUCAUGGCCCUUACGGCCAGGGCUACACACGUGCUACAAUGGGUAGUACAGAGGGUCGCAAACCCGCGAGGGGGAGCCAAUCUCACAAAACUACUCGUAGUCCGGAUUGGAGUCUGCAACUCGACUCCAUGAAGUCGGAAUCGCUAGUAAUCGCGGAUCAGCAUGUCGCGGUGAAUACGUUCCCGGGCCUUGUACAAAAUAAAUGCGCCAGGCAGUUUAUUAGACUAGAUGGUGAAAAUCCAUCUAUCAGCUUUCGGACAGCUGAUAUAGGGAAGGAUAGGACACGUCUCGUAAGGGAGUGUCUGAAGGAUCCGAAACAAAUGGUAGUCUCAGCAAAAAAGGGCGUUGUGACUCAUGUGUGUACCAUGAGGAAGCAACAUACCGUAAAGCCCGCUGGGAAUGUCAGAAAUAGCCUAAUAAAUGACCCUGGGAUAUCCUGUCGUUAAGAUAACCAAUGAUGCGACGGCAGGAAGUCAGCUGAUUCAUAGUAGCCGAUAUGUCGGCAAAGGAUGAAACCUAUGAGAGAAAUCUCACCUGAGAACAUUUCUGGGUUUGUAGUAGGUGAAGGAUGCUUUUAUGUAGAAAGUGGUAAAGACUCAAAAUACAAAUUAGGAUAUAGAGUCAGAGCUGCUUUUUGCAUUGAACUAAGAGAAGAUGAUCGAGAAAUACUUGAGGCAAUUCAAAAAACUUUAGGAUGUGGUAAUAUUUACCAGCUUGAUUUUGGUAGAUAUAAAGAUUAUUCAAAAAAGAAUUGGAGACCUCAUGUAAAAUAUAGAGUGAGCAAUCAAAAUGAUCUCAUUCACAAGAUUAUCCCUUUCUUUGAAAGGUAUCCGCUUUUUGGUAAAAAGCUAAAAUCGUUUGAAGUUUUUAUCAAGAUUGUGGAUAAAAUAAAAUUCAAAGAGCAUCUAACACCUGAUGGUUUAGAAAAAACUAAGUUAUUGGUUUCUGAACUCAAAGCUCUGAAUAAGAAAGGCAUGUAGGACUCGCUGGAUGCGCUAGACACGCUUGUCCAGUGGGAACGCGGCAAUGGUUAUAAUGACCGCAAUCACCGCCCGUCACACCAUGGGAGUGGGCUGUACCAGAAGUAGGUAGUCUAACCUUUCGGGGAGGGCGCUUACCACGGUAUGGUUCAUGACUGGGGUGAAGUCGUAACAAGGUAGCCGUAGGGGAACCUGCGGCUGGAUCACCUCCUUUAAAGA
RNAcentral lists this ribosomal RNA (2385 nucleotides) under Thiomargarita namibiensis. Its description in RNAcentral is "bacterial SSU rRNA". The stretch from base 1 to 1433 matches the Rfam family "Bacterial small subunit ribosomal RNA", at positions 273 to 1533 of the family's 1533-position model. Lineage: Bacteria; Pseudomonadati; Pseudomonadota; Gammaproteobacteria; Thiotrichales; Thiotrichaceae. The record is from RNAcentral.